This 2891-nucleotide unclassified non-coding RNA is filed under the name Hevea brasiliensis (rubber tree). The record is from RNAcentral. Lineage: Eukaryota; Viridiplantae; Streptophyta; Magnoliopsida; Malpighiales; Euphorbiaceae.
CUGGCCACCUCCCCCACAUUUAACCAGUCUUUCUGUUUUAUUCCACUUCCACACCAAACCCUCCUCUUUCUUCUUCUUAUUUCUCACACCCAAGAGACAAGAUCCUAUCUUUCUUUCCUCAAAUCUCAACCCUGUUCUCUCUAUCCACCGCCUCCACCUCUCCUCCCUUCCCUUCGCCUCUCAAUCAGCCACAAUGGGCAAGGGUGGAUCUCUCAGCGACAGUGUCUUGAAGAAGAUCCUUCUCUCCUACACCUAUGUUGGCAUCUGGAUCUUCCUCUCCUUCACUGUCAUUGUUUACAACAAGUACAUCCUCGACAAGAAGAUGUAUAAUUGGCCUUUUCCCAUCUCCCUUACCAUGAUCCAUAUGUCCUUCUGUGCCACUCUCGCUUUCCUUCUCAUCAAGGUCUUCAAAUUUGUUGAACCCGUCACCAUGUCUCGGGAUCUCUACCUCUCCUCCGUCGUACCCAUUGGCGCUCUUUAUUCUCUCAGCCUUUGGCUUUCCAAUUCUGCCUACAUCUACUUGUCUGUUUCCUUUAUUCAGAUGCUCAAAGCGCUCAUGCCGGUCGCCGUCUAUUCGAUUGGGGUUUUGUUUAAAAGAGAGGGUUUCAAGACCGAUACCAUGGUCAACAUGUUGUCGAUCUCAUUCGGCGUCGCUAUUGCAGCUUAUGGGGAAGCAAGAUUUGAUUCCUGGGGGGUUUUUCUCCAACUGGGAGCUGUUGCUUUUGAGGCCACCAGACUGGUAUUGAUUCAAAUCUUGCUUACAUCUAAGGGGAUAACACUCAACCCUAUUACUUCCCUUUAUUACGUCGCGCCUUGCUGUUUAGUUUUCUUGUUUGUGCCUUGGAUUUUCGUGGAAUACCCUGUUUUGAAGGAGAGUUCGAGCUUUCAUUUUGAUUUUGUCAUCUUUGGGACCAAUUCUUUAUGUGCAUUCGCCUUGAAUCUUGCCGUGUUUUUACUUGUGGGGAAGACUUCCGCUUUGACAAUGAAUGUGGCUGGUGUGGUCAAGGAUUGGUUGUUGAUCGCUUUCUCUUGGUCAGUCAUCAAGGAUACAGUGACCCCAAUUAACUUGUUUGGAUAUGGGCUUGCGUUUUUGGGUGUUGCCUAUUACAAUCAUGCCAAAUUGCAGGCAUUGAAGGCUAAGGAGGCUCAAAAGAAGGCCCAACAAGCCGAUGAGGAGGCUGGAAGGUUGUUGGAGGAGAGGGAGGGAGAAGGAACCGGGAAGAGAAGUGAAUCACAAAACUAAUCUUUUAUUUAAGGGAGUUAAUUUUAGAUAUGAAAUUGGAUGGAGAGUAUUGGAAAUAAGAGCAAAAGGAAGGCAAAGUAGUACCGGGCUUUGGUAUUGGGGGCAAAAGGAAUGGAGGGUGUCUUAGUUUUCUUUUGCUCAUUCGGUACUGUUGUUCUUAGGUUCAUGUUUAUUAUGCUAGUCAUGGAUGUUAGUUAUGUUAGGGAUCUGGGAUCCUAUCUCAGGUGCCCUGUUAUUUUUUUUUGUCCUUUAUAUCUCCCAUGUUUAUGUAGGAACGUCUUUUAUUGAUGAAACUUUAGUGCUUAUUUAUUCAUAUAUUUUCUUCUUGCUCAUACAGAUCCUUCACAUUUUAUUGUCAAUUUUUUCUGUCAUGUCUUAUACUUGUUCUAUUUGAUGUGAUUUGCUUCGGUUGUGCGAACUUUAGAAGUUCAUGUGGUAAUUGUUUGAGGAAUAAAUAAGCUUUGUUCUGAAUCAGGACAAUGCCAGUCUUAGUAAAAUGUGAUUUGGAAGGUGAAUGAGUUGGGGAAGAAAUUUGCAAUGAGAAACAAUGUUUUUAUUGUGAAGAAAAUUUACUGCUGUUGAAUUGUGAGUUACAGAUAUACGUGGCAUCUACAUGGUGGUUGAGACUAGAGAUUUGUGCUCUGUUUUGCUGCUAACCAUGGGAAAUGAGUCUUUGAGUUCUUUCAGAUGCAUGCAACUUUGGGUUGGCAUGGCAAGGGCAUCUAUUAGGAUUGCAGUGUUGCCUUUCUAGUUUCUAGUCUUUACAUUUUAUUGAAACAAAGGUCUGAGUCAUAGCAAUGUGACAUCCAGUAUGGUCCAGAUUACCAGAGUACGACUUAGAGGAUAAUGAAAUUUUCAUUUGAUAUAUGUAUCCCCUAGCUUUUUAAUGGAAUGUCUGGAGGGGAUUCCUCAGAGAGGGGUAUGCAGUCUGUUGUUCCAUUGGUCUUGGAUGGAUCUGAUAUGCUUCUUUACCUUGAUGAAUAGUUCCUCCGGUAUCCAACUUUAGUGCACCCUGAAGAGGAGGAGAUCUAUCAUUCAUGAUCUUGUUCUUGUAUGUUUUGGGCAUGGAUUGAGCAGAUGCCAAGGGUGGUAUUCUUGAUUCUUAAUUGGGGCUAGCUGGCUAAGUGUCCCCUGCAAUGUGAAUUUCCAGAAUCAGCUUCUUGCUUUUUGUUUCUCCUGAUCCGUUCCAGGAGGACUAGGGAACAAGCUUUUUCCCUGAGGAGCUCACCAACAACUUUUCCUUAAAAAUGGAGUGGGUCAACACCAACAGCUGAGAUGUACAAUUUGUUCUGACAUCCCAAUGCUAUCGCGUUGGGUUGGUAGUUUGACAAAGUGUUUUCUACUAGAAAGAGAAAAGAGGAAAGAAGACGCGUUUUUCUUUUUUCUAAGAAAGCAGGGAUGAGUUUUCUUUGUUCAUAUUCAGCAAUUGUCCUCACGUUGGUGCAUAUCCCUUUUCCUGAUCAAUCACUUGUUACCAACAAUGCCCCUUUUUGGAGAAGAUUACUACGCCAAUGUUGCCGGCUUGGAACGGACACACAAUACUCGGUUUUGCUUGAAAUGGUACACAAUACACACGAUUAGCCAUUGAAUUCCAGUUCCUUAGGGGAGAACAUAUAGAUUACAUCUCAUCAAGUACUGCAUUUGGUCG